This 802-nucleotide ribosomal RNA is filed under the name uncultured bacterium. RNAcentral's name for it is "bacterial SSU rRNA". It matches the Rfam family "Bacterial small subunit ribosomal RNA", at positions 8 to 811 of the family's 1533-position model. The record is from RNAcentral.
AGAGUUUGAUCCUGGCUCAGGAUGAACGCUGGCGGCGUGCCUAACACAUGCAAGUCGAACGGAGCUGCUUUGAUGAAGUUUUCGGAUGGAUUUAAAACAGCUUAGUGGCGGACGGGUGAGUAACGCGUGGGUAACCUGCCUCACACUGGGGGAUAACAGUUAGAAAUAGCUGCUAAUACCGCAUAAGCGCACAGUUCCGCAUGGAACAGUGUGAAAAACUCCGGUGGUGUGAGAUGGACCCGCGUCUGAUUAGCCAGUUGGCGGGGUAACGGCCCACCAAAGCGACGAUCAGUAGCCGGCCUGAGAGGGUGAACGGCCACAUUGGGACUGAGACACGGCCCAAACUCCUACGGGAGGCAGCAGUGGGGAAUAUUGCACAAUGGGGGAAACCCUGAUGCAGCGACGCCGCGUGAGUGAAGAAGUAUUUCGGUAUGUAAAGCUCUAUCAGCAGGGAAGAUAAUGACGGUACCUGACUAAGAAGCCCCGGCUAACUACGUGCCAGCAGCCGCGGUAAUACGUAGGGGGCAAGCGUUAUCCGGAUUUACUGGGUGUAAAGGGAGCGUAGACGGCACGGCAAGUCUGAUGUGAAAACCCAGGGCUUAACCCUGGGACUGCAUUGGAAACUGUCUGGCUCGAGUGCCGGAGAGGUAAGCGGAAUUCCUAGUGUAGCGGUGAAAUGCGUAGAUAUUAGGAAGAACACCAGUGGCGAAGGCGGCUUACUGGACGGUAACUGACGUUGAGGCUCGAAAGCGUGGGGAGCAAACAGGAUUAGAUACCCUGGUAGUCCACGCCGUAAACGAUG